RNAcentral lists this ribosomal RNA (382 nucleotides) under uncultured bacterium. RNAcentral describes it as "bacterial SSU rRNA". It matches the Rfam family "Bacterial small subunit ribosomal RNA", at positions 28 to 404 of the family's 1533-position model. The record is from RNAcentral.
GAUGAACGCUGGCGGCGUGCUUAACACAUGCAAGUCGAACGAUGAAAGCGGGAGCUUGCUCCUGCUGGAUUAGUGGCGAACGGGUGAGUAACACGUGAGUAACCUGCCCUUGACUCUGGGAUAAGCGUUGGAAACGACGUCUAAUACCGGAUACGACCUUCGGAGGCAUCUCCUGGGGGUGGAAAGAAUUUCGGUCAAGGAUGGCCUCGCGGCCUAUCAGCUAGUUGGUGAGGUAAUGGCUCACCAAGGCGACGACGGGUAGCCGGCCUGAGAGGGUGACCGGCCACACUGGGACUGAGACACGGCCCACGACUCCUACGGGAGGCAGCAGUGGGGAAUAUUGCACAAAUGGGCGCAAGCCUGAUGCAGCAACGCCGCGUGA